CAUUGGGGAGUAGCCUGCCUUGCCCUGUGAUCAGCGGUGCAAGGCGCCUGCAUCAACAUGCUUGGCCCUAGGCCAUGGUACAGGCAACCGCCAUGCGGUC
This 100-nucleotide small RNA is filed under the name Lampropedia sp. RNAcentral describes it as "Manganese sequence". It matches the Rfam family "Manganese Mn2+ riboswitch aptamer (yybP-ykoY)". From Rfam's summary of the family: This RNA was originally discovered in E. coli during a large scale screen and was named SraF. The family was later found to exist upstream of related families of protein genes in many bacteria, including the the yybP and ykoK genes in B. subtilis. The specific functions of these proteins are unknown, but this structured RNA element may be involved in their genetic regulation as a riboswitch. Lineage: Bacteria; Pseudomonadati; Pseudomonadota; Betaproteobacteria; Burkholderiales; Comamonadaceae. The record is from RNAcentral.